Molecule: ribosomal RNA, 253 nt
Filed under: uncultured bacterium
Lineage: Bacteria
Description: partial 16S ribosomal RNA
Rfam family: Bacterial small subunit ribosomal RNA
Source: RNAcentral
UACGAAGGGGGCUAGCGUUGUUCGGAAUUACUGGGCGUAAAGCGCGUGUAGGCGGGGCGUUAAGUCGGGGGUGAAAGACCAGAGCUCAACUCUGGAAUUGCAUUCGAUACUGGCGUCCUGGAGCAUGAUAGAGGCGAGUGGAAUUGCGAGUGUAGAGGUGAAAUUCGUAGAUAUUCGCAGGAACACCAUUGGCGAAGGCGACUCGCUGGAUCAUUGCUGACGCUGAGACGCGAAAGCGUGGGGAGCAAACAGG